UACGGUUGCAAAGCUGAAACUUAAAGGAAUUGACGGAAGGGCACCACCAGGAGUGGAGCCUGUGGCUUAAUUUGACUCAACACGGGAAACCUCACCCGGUCCGGACACUGGAAGGAUUGACAGACUAAAGCUCUUUCUUGAUUCAGUGGGUGGUGGUGCAUGGCCGUUCUUAGUUGGUGGAGUGAUUUGUCUGGUUAAUUCCGAUAACGAACGAGACUCUCGCCUGCUAAAUAGUUUUCCAUACGUUAGGUUAUGGAACGUAAACUUCUUAGAGGUACAAGUGGCGUUUAGCCACACGAAACAGAGCAAUAACAGGUCUGUGAUGCCCUUAGAUGUCCGGGGCCGCACAUGUGCUACAAUGAAUGCAUCAACGUGUAUCAGCCUCGCCCGAAAGGGUUGGGGAAUCCGCUGAACGGCAUUCUCAGUAGGGAUUGGGGAUUGCAAUUAUUUCCCAUGAACACGGAAUUCCCAGUAGGCGCCAGUCAUCAGCUGGCGUCGAUUGAGUCCCUGCCCUUUGUACACACCGCCCGUCGCUACUACCGAUCGCUCUUGUUAAUGAGCUUGUCAGAUUGGACCCGGUGAGCAGUCGUUGGUUUCAUCUCCUCGCGGGGUGUGCCUUCGUCUGCGAGCUUUUGGUGUAUGCCGAGAAGAUCGGCAAAUUAUCUGGAGUAGAGGAAGUAAAAGUCGUAACAAGGUAUCCGUAGGUGAACCUGCGGAUGNNNNNNNNNNAAGAAAAGAAAAUAAAAAGCUCCGGGAAGGGAAACCCGGUSUUACAAAAACUCCCAGUAAGACACGUACUACUCUGUGCGGUGGAUCACUCGGCUCGUGUGUCGAUGAAGAGCGCAGCUAGCUGCGAGAAGUAAUGUGAAUUGCAGAACCACACUGAAACAUCGACAUCUUGAACGCACAUGGCGGCCUCCGGGUCACUCCGGAGGCCACGUCUGUCUGAGGGUCGGCUUUGUAGUCAUUCUGAGUCUGCGGUCACCGAACGAACGAACGGGAGUAGAUGAAUACAUCUACCCCGAAUYAUUUAUAGUGUUCGGCGUCCGCCUGGGAGUUUCUCGGUAAAGAAGGAGCCGCCGGGUGGCGAGUUACUGAACAAACCCUCGGAGCGAGCUCAGCUCAUUGUAUUAUACAGUGUCGUACACACUACACGAUACAGAGAGAGAAAAACACCCGAGACAAACUCGUCUGUUUCCUCAAAGUCGGGGAACGGUCACGCAAGCCGACCUCAGAUCAG
This 1240-nucleotide ribosomal RNA is filed under the name Tridacna derasa. RNAcentral's name for it is "bacterial SSU rRNA". The record is from RNAcentral. Lineage: Eukaryota; Metazoa; Mollusca; Bivalvia; Cardiida; Cardiidae.